RNAcentral lists this long non-coding RNA (452 nucleotides) under Phoenix dactylifera (date palm). Its description in RNAcentral is "long non-coding RNA (PDAC_LNC005828)". Lineage: Eukaryota; Viridiplantae; Streptophyta; Magnoliopsida; Arecales; Arecaceae. The record is from RNAcentral.
UGGAGCCUGUCUGAUUAGGGUUGAGUGGACAUAGUGGGCUCAAUAAAAAAAAUAAAAACAACAAUCAAAUUCUUUUAUCUGAAACCAAUUUAUCUAGAAUCUAAUUUGACCUGCACAUAAGUCCCACAAAAUUGGACUUAAUCAGAGCGGACCCCAUUGGACACAACUAAGAAAUUAAUUCAAAAUUUGGGUCUCUCAGAGCCAAUUUGAUCCAAUUUAAAAAGUUAAUGUAUUAGGUCUAGCUGUUAGAUUGAAAUCACUUAUUCCUAACCUAACACACUUGCAAAUCGAAACAUUCUAGUGCUAUGCAAUUCAAAAAAUUUCAAUCAAAUGUCUAGAAAAUUUUGAAUUAUCAAUAUUUUCUAUCUGUUUAGGACUCCAUGAACAAAAACAAUCAUGACAAUUGUUUUAAAUAUUUCUCAUUAAUACGAUGCCACUUGCCCAUCAAACAC